UGGGGAAUAUUGGACAAUGGGGGGAACCCUGAUCCAGCCAUGCCGCGUGUGUGAAGAAGGCCUUAUGGUUGUAAAGCACUUUAAGCGAGGAGGAGGGUACUGGUAUUAAUACUACCAGGUACUGGACGUUACUCGCAGAAUAAGCACCGGCUAACCCUGUGCCAGCAGCCGCGGUAAUACAGAGGGUGCGAGCGUUAAUCGGAUUUACUGGGCGUAAAGCGUGCGUAGGCGGCUAAUUGAGUCGGAUGUGAAAUCCCCGAGCUUAACUUGGGAAUUGCAUUCGAUACUGGUUAGCUAGAGUGUGGGAGAGGAUGGUAGAAUUCCAGGUGUGGCGGUGAAAUGCGUAGAGAUCUGGAGGAAUACCGAUGGCGAAGGCAGCCAUCUGGCCUAACACUGACGCUGAGGUACGAAUGCAUGGGGAGCAAACAGG
Molecule: ribosomal RNA, 430 nt
Filed under: Pseudomonadota bacterium
Lineage: Bacteria; Pseudomonadati; Pseudomonadota
Description: Proteobacteria bacterium partial 16S ribosomal RNA
Rfam family: Bacterial small subunit ribosomal RNA
Source: RNAcentral